CGCCUGGGGAGUGCGGCCGCAAGGUUAAAACUCAAAUGAAUUGACGGGGGCCCGCACAAGCGGUGGAGCAUGUGGUUUAAUUCGACGCAACGCGAAGAACCUUACCUGGCCUUGACAUCCAGAGAACUUUCCAGAGAUGGAUUGGUGCCUUCGGGAACUCUGAGACAGGUGCUGCAUGGCCGUCGUCAGCUCGUAUCGUGAGAUGUUGGGUUAAGUCCCGUAACGAGCGCAACCCCUAUCCCUGGUUGCUAGCAGGUAAUGCUGAGAACUCCAGGGAGACUGCCGGUGACAAACCGGAGGAAGGUGGGGAUGACGUCAGGUCAUCAUGGCCCUUACGGCCAGGGCUACACACGUGCUACAAUGGCGCGUACAGAGGGCUGCCAACUCGCGAGAGUGAGCCAAUCCCUUAAAACGCGUCGUAGUCCGGAUCGGAGUCUGCAACUCGACUCCGCGAAGUCGGAAUCGCUAGUAAUCGCGAAUCAGAAUGUCGCGGUGAAUACGUUCCCGGGCCUUGUACACACCGCCCGUCACACCAUGGGAGUGGAUUGCACCAGAAGUAGUUAGUCUAACCUUCGGGAGGACGAUUACCACGGUGUGGUUCAUGACUGGGGGUGAAGUCGUAACAAGGUAACCGUA
This 636-nucleotide ribosomal RNA is filed under the name uncultured Marinobacter sp. RNAcentral describes it as "bacterial SSU rRNA". It matches the Rfam family "Bacterial small subunit ribosomal RNA", at positions 870 to 1504 of the family's 1533-position model. Lineage: Bacteria; Pseudomonadati; Pseudomonadota; Gammaproteobacteria; Pseudomonadales; Marinobacteraceae. The record is from RNAcentral.